CGGCGGACGGGUGAGUAACACGUGGAUAACCUACCUAUAAGACUGGGAUAACUUCGGGAAACCGGAGCUAAUACCGGAUAAUAUAUUGAACCGCAUGGUUCAAUAGUGAAAGACGGUUUUGCUGUCACUUAUAGAUGGAUCCGCGCCGCAUUAGCUAGUUGGUAAGGUAACGGAUUACCAAGGCAACGAUGCGUAGCCGACCUGAGAGGGUGAUCGGCCACACUGGAACUGAGACACGGUCCAG
Molecule: ribosomal RNA, 244 nt
Filed under: uncultured Staphylococcus sp.
Lineage: Bacteria; Bacillati; Bacillota; Bacilli; Caryophanales; Staphylococcaceae
Description: partial 16S ribosomal RNA
Rfam family: Bacterial small subunit ribosomal RNA
Source: RNAcentral